GCUGAAAAAUCAAUGUUUUUUAUGAGCGCUACCGCUUCGGCGCUCCAGCGAAAGCGUAAAAACUGCGCAUGCGAGAUAACUAAUUCAGCACGCGGAUCGAAACGUCAUCGUGUGCCAUUUAUUUGUUGAGCCCGCUCUCACGCGUUGAACACUCGAGCGCCCGCUUGCAGCUCCACCUAUCCCAUACAGACGCUGGCGCCGCCGCCGCGCCAUAAGAGACGAUCGACACACUUCAAACAUAUUUUUAACACGCCGCGCGCGUUGGACAGG
RNAcentral lists this long non-coding RNA (270 nucleotides) under Hordeum vulgare. RNAcentral's name for it is "long non-coding RNA (HVUL_LNC013154)". Lineage: Eukaryota; Viridiplantae; Streptophyta; Magnoliopsida; Poales; Poaceae. The record is from RNAcentral.